GAAAUGAUUAAAUUUUUGCGGUCCCUCUUUCAGUAUAAAUAUGAAGUAUCUCCUUCGGGGCAUAUCAAAUUUCUAAAAAAUGACUUUAAGACGCAGUUUGAUUUUGGUUGCUGCUUUACUCUGUUUUGGAGUAUUUUUGGGCUUCUGCAUUCAAGAAUCAGAGGCGUAUUAUCCGUCGUCCGGGUCUCGUCCAAUGUGCUGUGUAUGCUUCAGAGCACCAUGCCCCUGCAUGUUUCCACCGGGCCACCCAAUCUGUAGAUUUCUAAGAGGCUGAUGUACAUGUAUGGUUACAUAUACCUCAUGUAAGCAACUGCGGUAAAUCAGAGGAAAUUUCAGAUAAAGUCAAUGUAUAUUUUAAACGAAUAAAUUGUUUAAAAGAGAAA
Molecule: long non-coding RNA, 383 nt
Organism: Magallana angulata
Lineage: Eukaryota; Metazoa; Mollusca; Bivalvia; Ostreida; Ostreidae
Exons: 3
Source: RefSeq, a predicted model, not a curated record